AGCAUUAGCUCAGCUGGAUAGAGCGUCAGACUUCGGAUCUGAAAGCCAGGGGUUCGAAUCCUCUAUGCUG
RNAcentral lists this transfer RNA (70 nucleotides) under pig gut metagenome. It matches the Rfam family "tRNA". From Rfam's summary of the family: Transfer RNA (tRNA) molecules are approximately 80 nucleotides in length. Their secondary structure includes four short double-helical elements and three loops (D, anti-codon, and T loops). The record is from RNAcentral.